Molecule: ribosomal RNA, 241 nt
Filed under: uncultured bacterium
Lineage: Bacteria
Description: partial 16S ribosomal RNA
Rfam family: Bacterial small subunit ribosomal RNA
Source: RNAcentral
AGCGUUGUUCGGAAUUACUGGGCGUAAAGCGUAUGCAGGCGGAUCGUUAAGUCGGGGGUGAAAUCCCGAGGCUCAACCUCGGAACUGCCUUCGAUACUGGCGACCUUCGAGUCCGGGAGAGGUGAGUGGAACUCCGAGUGUAGAGGUGAAAUUCGUAGAUAUUCGGAAGAACACCAGUGGCGAAGGCGGCUCACUGGCCCGGUACUGACGCUGAGAUACGAAAGCGUGGGGAGCAAACAGG